CUUAGCAGUGAGCUCCCUCUGAAAGGUAACUCCCUACACCCUUAGCAGUGAGCUCCCUCUGAAAGGUAACUCCCUACACCCUUAGCAGUGAGCUCCCUCUGAAAGGUAACUCCCUACACCCUUAGCAGUGAGCUCCCUCUGAAAGGUAACUCCCUACACCCUUAGCAGUGAGCUCCCUCUGAAAGGUAACUCCCUACACCCUUAGCAGUGAGCUUCCUCUGUAGGUAGCUGCCUCGCUGCCUACACCCUUAGCAGUGAGCUCACUC
Molecule: long non-coding RNA, 266 nt
Organism: Anguilla anguilla (European eel)
Lineage: Eukaryota; Metazoa; Chordata; Actinopteri; Anguilliformes; Anguillidae
Exons: 3
Source: RefSeq, a predicted model, not a curated record